UUGAUUUCCUGAUUAUAACAUUAAUGUGUAAAUGUAUUUUUCUGCUACCAGCUAAAUGUUCCUCCUCUGUUCCCACAGGUAUACCAUAAUUCAAGGACCACGUAACCCUGGGAGACUAUGAAAUCCACGAUGGGAUGAACCUGGAGCUGUACUACCAGUAGAGGACCUCAAGUCAAUAAUGCAGAGAUGACUCUUCCAUGAUAUAUAUACACACACACACACACACACACACACACACACACACACACACACACACACUCAGUCGCAGAAAACAACCAUGAUCAGACAACACAACUGAAAGAGGAGCCGGAAAACACACACACACACCAUUUUAGAUUAUGAUUUUUGCCCAUAAAUUGACCAAAAGUCAUGUUGUUCCACAGUUUUUUUGAUAUUUUUGAAUAAAAGGAUGUUUAUACCUAU
This is a long non-coding RNA of Gymnodraco acuticeps, 423 nucleotides long. RefSeq lists it as uncharacterized. The record is from RefSeq and is a predicted model, not a curated record. Lineage: Eukaryota; Metazoa; Chordata; Actinopteri; Perciformes; Bathydraconidae. The transcript is spliced from 2 exons.